RNAcentral lists this long non-coding RNA (203 nucleotides) under Elaeis guineensis (African oil palm). RNAcentral's name for it is "long non-coding RNA (EGUI_LNC045243)". Lineage: Eukaryota; Viridiplantae; Streptophyta; Magnoliopsida; Arecales; Arecaceae. The record is from RNAcentral.
GGAAUACGAUGAAGCUUGUCAACAGAUUUUUAUUUUUUCUCUUAUAUUUAAUUUUUAUGCAAUAAAAUUAUAUUUUUAUUUUAUAUCUUUUUAUUUUUCUGAGGUAUUGAUCUAGUCUACACAUCCUAUACCCUCUACUGACGUGCCGUAAUCCCUGGAUACGGUACAUGCUUCGGAGAGAUAGAUCGUAGUAUAUUAGAUUA